GUUCGAUUAAGCCAUGCGAGUCCGAGCUUUCGGACUCGGCGUACCGCUCAGUAACACGUGGGUAACCUAACCUAUGCAGGGGAAUAACCUCGGGAAACUGAGUAUAAUGCCCCAUAGUCCACUACGCCUGGAACGGUGAGUGGAUAAAAGCUCAGGCGGCAUAGGAUGGGCCUGCGGCGUAUCAGGUCGUAGGGGGUGUAAAGUACCCUCUAGCCAUCUACGCGUACGGGUGUUGGGAGACAUAGCCCGGAGAUGGAUUCUGAGACACGAAUCCAGACCCUACGGGGUGCAGCAGGCGCGAAAACUUGACAAUGCGAGCAAUCGUGAUCAGGGAACUCCAAGUGGCUGGGGUAAGACCCAGUCUUUUCAUAACUCUUCAAAGGUUGUAGAAUAAGGGGUGGGUAAGGACGGUGCCAGCCGCCGCGGUAAUACCGGCGCCUCAAGUGGUAGUCGCUUUUAUUGGGCCUAAAACGUCCGUAGCCGGUUUGGUACAUUCGUGGGUAAAUCAACUCGCUCAACGAGUUGAAUUCUGCGAGGACGGCCAGACUUGGGACCGGGAGAGGUGUGGGGGUACUCUCAGGGUAGGGGGUAAAAAUCCUGUCAUCCUGAGAGGACCACCUGUUGCGAAGGCGCCACACUAGAACGGAUCCGACGGUCAGGGACGAAGCCUAGGGGCACGAACCGGAUUAGAUACCCGGGUAGUCCUAGGUGUAAACGCUGUGGACUUGAUGUU
RNAcentral lists this ribosomal RNA (733 nucleotides) under uncultured marine archaeon. Its description in RNAcentral is "bacterial SSU rRNA". It matches the Rfam family "Archaeal small subunit ribosomal RNA", at positions 38 to 775 of the family's 1478-position model. The record is from RNAcentral.